RNAcentral lists this ribosomal RNA (706 nucleotides) under Enterobacter hormaechei. RNAcentral describes it as "bacterial SSU rRNA". Lineage: Bacteria; Pseudomonadati; Pseudomonadota; Gammaproteobacteria; Enterobacterales; Enterobacteriaceae. The record is from RNAcentral.
UGCCCUUGAGGCGUGGCUUCCGGAGCUAACGCGUUAAGUCGACCGCCUGGGGAGUACGGCCGCAAGGUUAAAACUCAAAUGAAUUGACGGGGGCCCGCACAAGCGGUGGAGCAUGUGGUUUAAUUCGAUGCAACGCGAAGAACCUUACCUACUCUUGACAUCCAGAGAACUUAGCAGAGAUGCUUUGGUGCCUUCGGGAACUCUGAGACAGGUGCUGCAUGGCUGUCGUCAGCUCGUGUUGUGAAAUGUUGGGUUAAGUCCCGCAACGAGCGCAACCCUUAUCCUUUGUUGCCAGCGGUCCGGCCGGGAACUCAAAGGAGACUGCCAGUGAUAAACUGGAGGAAGGUGGGGAUGACGUCAAGUCAUCAUGGCCCUUACGAGUAGGGCUACACACGUGCUACAAUGGCGCAUACAAAGAGAAGCGACCUCGCGAGAGYAAGCGGACCUCAUAAAGUGCGUCGUAGUCCGGAUUGGAGUCUGCAACUCGACUCCAUGAAGUCGGAAUCGCUAGUAAUCGUGGAUCAGAAUGCCACGGUGAAUACGUUCCCGGGCCUUGUACACACCGCCCGUCACACCAUGGGAGUGGGUUGCAAAAGAAGUAGGUAGCUUAACCUUCGGGAGGGCGCUUACCACUUUGUGAUUCAUGACUGGGGUGAAGUCGUAACAAGGUAACCGUAGGGGAACCUGCGGUUGGAUCACCUCCUUA